Molecule: long non-coding RNA, 618 nt
Filed under: Phaseolus vulgaris (common bean)
Lineage: Eukaryota; Viridiplantae; Streptophyta; Magnoliopsida; Fabales; Fabaceae
Description: long non-coding RNA (PVUL_LNC003008)
Source: RNAcentral
GAGACUAUACUCAAAUUUGGAGAGAAAUUGUGAGUCUUGAGUCUUCUUCUUCCUUUGCCUUAUCUUGUGAGCAAUGGUGAGCUUCAAGUGGUGGCACUCCAUCACUUAUCUUGGUUCAAGGUUCCAAGUGGCGUGAAUGGCUUCUUCCAAUUCUCAAAAUCCAGCAAGCAUCUUCUUCUAUAAGUGUUCUUCUUUCCUUUUCUUCAAUUUUCCAUUCGGUAUUUUUUAUUCCUAGAGUUUACUUCUUUUUCUACCGUUUAUUUUUGUGUUUCCAGCAUUGUGUUCUUAAUUCUGUUUUGGUUCAGUAGCUAGCUUUAAUUUCUGUCCAGUUUUAAUUCUUGUUCUUCAUUCCUUGUGUUUUGAUUCAAUUUGACAAAACAUGGACUUCCAUAUGAGUUUUGGUUGGUGCUAAGUUUUGGUGAGUUCUUGAAUUAGAACAUUGAUCCAAUUCUAAAGUAAAGUGCCUUUCAAAUCCAGCUCAAGUUGAUCCUAAGAAUGUCAAGAAUCAUGUAUUCUUGCUAUUGCAUUCACAUCAUGUGGUAUCUAGAGUCUAGGCUUGUUUCUUGCUUAAUUUUGAGUUGUAUUGCACUUUAAAUUUCAAGAGCUCUUAAAUUCAAG